GAUGAAGAACGCAGCGAAAUGCGAUACGUAGUGUGAAUUGCAGAAUUCCGUGAACCAUCGAAUCUUUGAACGCACAUUGCGCCCCCUGGUAUUCCGGGGGGCAUGCCUGUCCGAGCGUCAUUGCUGCCCUCAAACACGGCUUGUGUGUUGGGCCUCCGUCCUCCUCCCGGGGGACGGGCCCGAAAGGCAGCGGCGGCACCGCGUCCGGUCCUCGAGCGUAUGGGGCUUCGUCACCCGCUCUUGUAGGCCCGGCCGGCGCUUGCCGACACAUCAAUCUUUUUUCCAGGUUGACCUCGGAUCAGGUAGGGAUACCCGCUGAACUUAAGCAUAUCAAUAAGCGGAGGA
RNAcentral lists this unclassified non-coding RNA (345 nucleotides) under soil metagenome. RNAcentral's name for it is "partial contains 5.8S ribosomal RNA, internal transcribed spacer 2, and large subunit ribosomal RNA". The stretch from base 1 to 120 matches the Rfam family "5.8S ribosomal RNA", at positions 35 to 154 of the family's 154-position model. The record is from RNAcentral.